Molecule: ribosomal RNA, 2900 nt
Filed under: Klebsiella pneumoniae
Lineage: Bacteria; Pseudomonadati; Pseudomonadota; Gammaproteobacteria; Enterobacterales; Enterobacteriaceae
Description: bacterial LSU rRNA
Rfam family: Bacterial large subunit ribosomal RNA
Source: RNAcentral
UUAAGCGACUAAGCGUACACGGUGGAUGCCCUGGCAGUCAGAGGCGAUGAAGGACGUGCUAAUCUGCGAAAAGCGUCGGUAAGGUGAUAUGAACCGUUAUAACCGGCGAUGUCCGAAUGGGGAAACCCAGUGCAAUUCGUUGCACUAUCGUUAACUGAAUACAUAGGUUAACGAGGCGAACCGGGGGAACUGAAACAUCUAAGUACCCCGAGGAAAAGAAAUCAACCGAGAUUCCCCCAGUAGCGGCGAGCGAACGGGGAGCAGCCCAGAGUCUGAAUCAGCUUGUGUGUUAGUGGAACGGUCUGGAAAGUCCGACGGUACAGGGUGAUAGUCCCGUACACCAAAAUGCACAGGCUGUGAACUCGAAGAGUAGGGCGGGACACGUGGUAUCCUGUCUGAAUAUGGGGGGACCAUCCUCCAAGGCUAAAUACUCCUGACUGACCGAUAGUGAACCAGUACCGUGAGGGAAAGGCGAAAAGAACCCCGGCGAGGGGAGUGAAAAAGAACCUGAAACCGUGUACGUACAAGCAGUGGGAGCACCUUCGGGUGUGACUGCGUACCUUUUGUAUAAUGGGUCAGCGACUUAUAUUCUGUAGCAAGGUUAACCGUAUAGGGGAGCCGCAGGGAAACCGAGUCUUAACUGGGCGUUAAGUUGCAGGGUAUAGACCCGAAACCCGGUGAUCUAGCCAUGGGCAGGUUGAAGGUUGGGUAACACUAACUGGAGGACCGAACCGACUAAUGUUGAAAAAUUAGCGGAUGACUUGUGGCUGGGGGUGAAAGGCCAAUCAAACCGGGAGAUAGCUGGUUCUCCCCGAAAGCUAUUUAGGUAGCGCCUCGUGAACUCAUCUUCGGGGGUAGAGCACUGUUUCGGCUAGGGGGUCAUCCCGACUUACCAACCCGAUGCAAACUACGAAUACCGAAGAAUGUUAUCACGGGAGACACACGGCGGGUGCUAACGUCCGUCGUGAAGAGGGAAACAACCCAGACCGCCAGCUAAGGUCCCAAAGUCAUGGUUAAGUGGGAAACGAUGUGGGAAGGCACAGACAGCCAGGAUGUUGGCUUAGAAGCAGCCAUCAUUUAAAGAAAGCGUAAUAGCUCACUGGUCGAGUCGGCCUGCGCGGAAGAUGUAACGGGGCUAAACCAUGCACCGAAGCUGCGGCAGCGACACUAUGUGUUGUUGGGUAGGGGAGCGUUCUGUAAGCCUGCGAAGGUGUGCUGUGAGGCAUGCUGGAGGUAUCAGAAGUGCGAAUGCUGACAUAAGUAACGAUAAAGCGGGUGAAAAGCCCGCUCGCCGGAAGACCAAGGGUUCCUGUCCAACGUUAAUCGGGGCAGGGUGAGUCGACCCCUAAGGCGAGGCCGAAAGGCGUAGUCGAUGGGAAACAGGUUAAUAUUCCUGUACUUGGUGUUACUGCGAAGGGGGGACGGAGAAGGCUAUGUUAGCCGGGCGACGGUUGUCCCGGUUUAAGCAUGUAGGCUGGUUAUCCAGGCAAAUCCGGAUAAUCAAGGCUGAGGUGUGAUGACGAGGCACUACGGUGCUGAAGUAACAAAUGCCCUGCUUCCAGGAAAAGCCUCUAAGCAUCAGGUAACAUUAAAUCGUACCCCAAACCGACACAGGUGGUCAGGUAGAGAAUACCAAGGCGCUUGAGAGAACUCGGGUGAAGGAACUAGGCAAAAUGGUGCCGUAACUUCGGGAGAAGGCACGCUGGUGUGUAGGUGAAGCCCCUGCGGGUGGAGCUGAGACCAGUCGAAGAUACCAGCUGGCUGCAACUGUUUAUUAAAAACACAGCACUGUGCAAACACGAAAGUGGACGUAUACGGUGUGACGCCUGCCCGGUGCCGGAAGGUUAAUUGAUGGGGUUAUCCGUAAGGAGAAGCUCUUGAUCGAAGCCCCGGUAAACGGCGGCCGUAACUAUAACGGUCCUAAGGUAGCGAAAUUCCUUGUCGGGUAAGUUCCGACCUGCACGAAUGGCGUAAUGAUGGCCAGGCUGUCUCCACCCGAGACUCAGUGAAAUUGAACUCGCUGUGAAGAUGCAGUGUACCCGCGGCAAGACGGAAAGACCCCGUGAACCUUUACUAUAGCUUGACACUGAACAUUGAGCCUUGAUGUGUAGGAUAGGUGGGAGGCUUUGAAGCGUGGACGCCAGUCUGCGUGGAGCCAACCUUGAAAUACCACCCUUUAAUGUUUGAUGUUCUAACGUUGGCCCCUGACCGGGGUUGCGGACAGUGUCUGGUGGGUAGUUUGACUGGGGCGGUCUCCUCCCAAAGCGUAACGGAGGAGCACGAAGGUUAGCUAAUCCUGGUCGGACAUCAGGAGGUUAGUGCAAUGGCAUAAGCUAGCUUGACUGCGAGCGUGACGGCGCGAGCAGGUGCGAAAGCAGGUCAUAGUGAUCCGGUGGUUCUGAAUGGAAGGGCCAUCGCUCAACGGAUAAAAGGUACUCCGGGGAUAACAGGCUGAUACCGCCCAAGAGUUCAUAUCGACGGCGGUGUUUGGCACCUCGAUGUCGGCUCAUCACAUCCUGGGGCUGAAGUAGGUCCCAAGGGUAUGGCUGUUCGCCAUUUAAAGUGGUACGCGAGCUGGGUUUAGAACGUCGUGAGACAGUUCGGUCCCUAUCUGCCGUGGGCGCUGGAGAAUUGAGGGGGGCUGCUCCUAGUACGAGAGGACCGGAGUGGACGCAUCACUGGUGUUCGGGUUGUCAUGCCAAUGGCACUGCCCGGUAGCUAAAUGCGGAAGAGAUAAGUGCUGAAAGCAUCUAAGCACGAAACUUGCCCCGAGAUGAGUUCUCCCUGAGACUUUAAGUCUCCUGAAGGAACGUUGAAGACGACGACGUUGAUAGGCCGGGUGUGUAAGCGCAGCGAUGCGUUGAGCUAACCGGUACUAAUGAACCGUGAGGCUUAACCUU